GGACAAGGUAGAGGCUUGGAUCUCCGCCCGAUUAGAACGCGUGGCACCCGACCGGGGGCGGGAGGAGCCAGUGGUGCGACCGGCUACCUCCAGG
Molecule: non-coding RNA, 94 nt
Filed under: unclassified sequences
Description: c-di-GMP sequence
Rfam family: c-di-GMP-II-GAG riboswitch aptamer
Source: Rfam by way of RNAcentral